CUCUCCCUCCCCAGAUUCAUAUCCCUCUCUUCUCGUCGUCGAGCUCCUCCUCCGCCUUCAUCCCUCCUCCGCCGUGAUCUCGCCUUCAACCUCCUCCUCCUCCACGAUCUCGCCAUCGAGCUCCUCCUCCGCCUUUAGCGCUCCUCCACCGCGGUCUCGCCUUCAACCUCCUCCUCCUCCGCCCUCAACCCAGCCGUGGAUCCUGGAGUCAUCUUCAAGCACUCGUCGUGGAUUGAUGUGCCAUUGUGAAAGGAGGGUAUACUCUCCACAUCUGGAACUAAGACGAUCACUGGUCGAUUGUUUUUAGGAUAUGCUAAUUGGAAAAUGAGUAAUUUUGGCUUCUUCAAAUGGGUGACUGAUAAAGAGGAGUUUGAAGGUUCAAAGGCAGGGCUUGUUCAGACGAAUCAGUCGAGCGUGAUGCCGCAAGUUUCAAGUGACGUGUCAAUUGGAGAAGUGCGGGAAAAGAGAAAGAUUGAGAUUGAUAUUAUGGAUUUGUCGAAGACUGUUGUAUUUGUUCUUUUAUUUGGUAUUUUUCUUGAAUUUGUAUUUGGUAUUUUUAUUGUAUUUGUGCUAAGUAGGAUGUACUAAUGUAUUAUUGGAUGAGUAAGAACAAAUAGAAUUUCAGCAUCGUGUACAUA
Molecule: long non-coding RNA, 638 nt
Organism: Asparagus officinalis (garden asparagus)
Lineage: Eukaryota; Viridiplantae; Streptophyta; Magnoliopsida; Asparagales; Asparagaceae
Exons: 2
Source: RefSeq, a predicted model, not a curated record